RNAcentral lists this ribosomal RNA (445 nucleotides) under uncultured bacterium. RNAcentral's name for it is "bacterial SSU rRNA". It matches the Rfam family "Bacterial small subunit ribosomal RNA", at positions 330 to 792 of the family's 1533-position model. The record is from RNAcentral.
ACCAGACUCCUACGGGAGGCAGCAGUGGGGAAUAUUGCACAAUGGGGGAAACCCUGAUGCAGCGACGCCGCGUGGAGGAAGAAGGUCUUCGGAUUGUAAACUCCUUUCCUUGGGGACGAUAAUGACGGUACCCAAGGAGGAAGCACCGGCUAACUACGUGCCAGCAGCCGCGGUAAAACGUAGGGUGCAAGCGUUGUCCGGAAUCAUUGGGCGUAAAGAGUUCGUAGGCGGUAUGUUAAGUCUGGUGUUAAAUGCAGAAGCUCAACUUCUGUUCGGCACUGGAUACUGGCAAACUAGAAUGCGGUAGAGGUAAAGGGAAUUCCUGGUGUAGCGGUGAAAUGCUUAGAUAUCAGGAGGAACAUCGGUGGCGUAAGCGCUUUACUGGGCCGUAAUUGACGCUGAGGAACGAAAGCCAGGGUAGCAAAUGGGAUUAGAUACCCCGGUA